Molecule: long non-coding RNA, 871 nt
Filed under: Anas zonorhyncha (Eastern spot-billed duck)
Lineage: Eukaryota; Metazoa; Chordata; Aves; Anseriformes; Anatidae
Description: lncRNA (ENSAZOG00000017605.1)
Source: RNAcentral
GAUCAGAGGGUUCCUUGCCCAUUGCUCUGCCAGCGAGCUGCGAACCAGCCUCCCAUAAUGAAACUGAAACCCCAAAAAGGCCGAAUUCUCACCUCGUGUCCACUGCCCGGCAGCCAGGACAUGCGUCCUUGUGCGAGUGAAAGUGGAUAUGACACAGAUUUAAUGAGGCAACAGCUUCCUGGCAGCGCCACAGGCUGCUCAGAAGCUGUAUCAUUAUUCAUUUACUUGACUAAUGCAGUCGUGUUGUGAAAAAGAGAGGGGAAAGCUGUCUGAAGUGCUGAGUACACGAGAAGGCUUCUGAAAAACAGAGCUACUCCAGCAGGGUCUGUUGGAGCUUAGGCAUGGAGCACAUCUUAGUCUGGAGGUAGCAAUGAGAAACUGCCACGUCAAAGAUCUCUGCAAAAGUACAUUCGGGAACAUCUCCUACAUGCUCAUGUUGGCUUCAGUGCAGUAUUUUCCCCUAAAAGGGGAUCAUCUGAGUUAUCUUCAUCCCUGUCUUCUUCCAGGAGCUUUGCUCUACAUGCACGACAGCAAGGAUUUGGACAAGGAGGACAACCCACAAGUGCUACCUGAUGGUCACCACGUGGAAGGACAAAGUCUCUACUACCAGGUAGUGCUCGAUAUAUCUCCAAAUGACUUGAAGCAGAAGGAUGCUGCUACCAAGGAAGAGUUUGGACUCAGUUAUGCCAGCGUACAUCCAAAGUUGGCAUCCCCUGAUGCCAAGAGCUCUGCCUUCGUCAGCUCUCCGCAUUCUUUUGGGAGCUGCUGGAAAUGGCAUCCUCAGACAUCUGCCUGCUCAGAGCUGAAGGCAGAGAUGGCAAAGGGAAACAAAAAAAAAAUCACAACUGUAUGUUUUUUGGCUCUGGGGUGA